AUGUACCAGGUUCAGCCACCCUAUCAUAAACAUAUCAGUGUCCAGAACCAAAUGGAACCAAAUAAACUUUCCAUUGUAAGUUAUCCAGCCUUCUGCAUUCAGAUGAAUAAUCACAGAAAGGCCACAAUUUUACAAGGAAAGCCCUCUAUGAUUAGCGCAUUACCGGCUGUUUGUGGAUUUGCCUGCAGCAUCGUGACUUGCAUUUUCUUCAAGGAUUCUCUGUCAAGGUUACUGUCAGCAGUUCAUCACCUCUAACUGAAGACAUACAAGCAAUAUAUGGCUGCCAUGAGGAUAAUAAUCAUUAUUCUCCAGGAACAAGUCCCGAUGAAUUAUCUGGACCUAAGUGGUCAGUCCUAAGCACAUAUAUAUGUGAGCAACACUACGUGGGCUCAGCAGGUUGUAUUUAUUUAUGCAUUUUCAUGUUUUUAAAUAAUGAAAAAAGAGGCCAUGGGAGAACUUGUGGCACUAGAGGUGUUUGAAUGGUGAAAAUAGGACAUAGAAAUAAUGUAAACUUAGCACUAUUGUCUAAAAUUCUCACAAAGUAGUAACGAAAUAAAUGUUUCAAAGAUAGACCUUUGUAUUCA
RNAcentral lists this long non-coding RNA (584 nucleotides) under Mus spicilegus (steppe mouse). Its description in RNAcentral is "lncRNA (ENSMSIG00000007617.1)". Lineage: Eukaryota; Metazoa; Chordata; Mammalia; Rodentia; Muridae. The record is from RNAcentral.